Molecule: transfer RNA, 74 nt
Organism: Thauera sp. 27
Lineage: Bacteria; Pseudomonadati; Pseudomonadota; Betaproteobacteria; Rhodocyclales; Zoogloeaceae
Rfam family: tRNA
About the family: Transfer RNA (tRNA) molecules are approximately 80 nucleotides in length. Their secondary structure includes four short double-helical elements and three loops (D, anti-codon, and T loops). Further hydrogen bonds mediate the characteristic L-shaped molecular structure. tRNAs have two regions of fundamental functional importance: the anti-codon, which is responsible for specific mRNA codon recognition, and the 3' end, to which the tRNAs corresponding amino acid is attached (by aminoacyl-tRNA synthetases). tRNAs cope with the degeneracy of the genetic code in two manners: having more than one tRNA (with a specific anti-codon) for a particular amino acid; and 'wobble' base-pairing, i.e. permitting non-standard base-pairing at the 3rd anti-codon position.
Source: Rfam
CUGCCCGUAGCUCAAUUGGAUAGAGCACCGGCCUUCUAAGCCGGGGGUUGCAGGUUCGAUCCCUGCCGGGCAGG